RNAcentral lists this transfer RNA (66 nucleotides) under Candidatus Merdicola faecigallinarum. It matches the Rfam family "tRNA". Rfam says of the family: Transfer RNA (tRNA) molecules are approximately 80 nucleotides in length. Their secondary structure includes four short double-helical elements and three loops (D, anti-codon, and T loops). RNAcentral also lists the same sequence under 1 other name. The record is from RNAcentral. Lineage: Bacteria; Bacillati; Bacillota; Clostridia.
GGGCAUAGUUUAGUGGUAAAAUUUCGUGCUUCCGACCCGAAGAGGCGGGUUCGAUUCCCGUUGCCC